AACGAACGCUGGCGGCAUGCCUAACACAUGCAAGUCGAACGAGACCUUCGGGUCUAGUGGCGCACGGGUGCGUAACGCGUGGGAACCUGCCCUUAGGUUCGGAAUAACUCCCCGAAAGGGGUGCUAAUACCGGAUAAUGUCUUCGGACCAAAGAUUUAUCGCCUUUGGAUGGGCCCGCGUUGGAUUAGCUAGUUGUUAGGGUAAAAGCCUACCACGGCGACGAUCCAUAGCUGGUCUGAGAGGAUGAUCAGCCACACUGGGACUGAGACACGGCCCAGACUCCUACGGGAGGCAGCAGUGGGGAAUAUUGGACAAUGGGCGAAAGCCUGAUCCAGCAAGGACGCGUGAGUGAUGAAGGCCUUAGGGUUGUAAAGCUCUUUUACCCGGGAUGAUAAUGACAGUACCGGGAGAAUAAGCUCCGGCUAACUCCGUG
RNAcentral lists this ribosomal RNA (433 nucleotides) under uncultured bacterium. RNAcentral's name for it is "partial 16S ribosomal RNA". It matches the Rfam family "Bacterial small subunit ribosomal RNA", at positions 29 to 507 of the family's 1533-position model. The record is from RNAcentral.